Molecule: long non-coding RNA, 1739 nt
Organism: Heterocephalus glaber (naked mole-rat)
Lineage: Eukaryota; Metazoa; Chordata; Mammalia; Rodentia; Bathyergidae
Source: Ensembl
CCUUUACCAGUUUGGCUUCCAUCCUAUUCCCCGGAACAGGAGCGGUCAAACGGGAGGGUGGGGGGCGGGGUGGCAAUUUAUCAGGACUUGCUUCUUUUUGCUUUCCACAGAAAUUGCAUUUUAGUUCCUGACUAAUGAUUUCUCCUGUUCUUAAAGCCAAGGGAAAGGUCGGAUGCAAAACACUCGAGUUUUAAGAAAUUUUAAGCUAUUCUUAGAACAAGCUUCACCUUGCUUUCCUUCUGUAGGGCAAACCCCUGCCCCUGCGCGCCUCGGUGGUCCUGCUGAGGGUUUUCUACCUCACCCUGUGCAUAUUGCACAGCAAGACAGAAAGACUUGUUUAUAUUAAACAGCUUAUUUAUGUAUCAAUAUUAGUUGGAAGGACCAGGCGCUGAGCCUCUCUCUGUGACAUGUGACUCUGUCAUUUGAAGACAGGACAGGGAAAAAAAAAGGAAACAGUUCAGAUUACUGCACAUGUGCGUAUAAACAAAAACAAAACACACUAAACAGGAGUGGUUCCACAUGCCAUUUUUGCACAGUGUUAGGAAUUGUAAAGUCCACAGAUGUUACUUGCACAAAAGAAAUUAAAUAUUUUUAAAGGGGUAGGAAGGGGGGAGAUCUUAAAAACUAAAAUAAAAUUCAAACUCAGCUUCUGUUGUCUAUUAUGUUAUUGAGCUAAUGAUUUAUUGGGAAAAUACCUUUUUAUACUCUUAUCAUGGUACUGUAACUAUCCAUAUUAUAAGUAUAAUUAUCUUAUGGAUUUUUUAUUAUUUUUUUAUGUCCAAGUGCCCAUGUGAAUCUGCUGGUAAAGCUUAGCACUUGUGUGUAAAUUCUAUUUCCUCUUGUAUGUUUUACCAAGUAUUUUUACUCUGGUGCAACUAACUACUGUGUGAGGAAUUGGUCCAUGUGCAAUAAAUACCAAUGAAGCACAAUCAAGAUUACGUACCCUUGUGUCUGUAAAGUGUCAGUGAAAAUGAAAAAGACAGUUUGUCUUUUCAUUAGACUGCAUUUCUCCUAGAGCUCUUUUAAUAGCUUUUCAUGACUCAGUAACUUAGCAAAAUGCCUCUAGACCAAAUACGAUGUUCACCUACAGAGAGCUGCAGAUUUGCCCUAAAUUUUCACAGCCGGAUUCAAGGUAUUCCAGACUACUUGUAGGCGCUUUUCAAGAUUCCAUCUGCUGCACUUGACUUAUGAAGUGACAUUUGGGAAAUGUGUCUACUGGGGGCGAAAAGCCUCGGAGCCAGGUAACUCAGCUGCAGUGUUGCUCAGAAACACAGGAAGGAAGACAAACUCAUUGAACAGUCGGCCAACUGAAAUUCGUUGCAGGAGCUGACCUAGAAAAAUGCACCCUUACCAAGCAGAUUUCUAAGUGCAUAAGGCCAAGGGUCAUGCCCCCUGUGGAGAACUGUCCAAGUCCAGGAAUUGAAAAAAUAGGAUACUAGUUCAAGAAUGAUGCAUAAGUCAAAUGGAGAAGGCAUUGAAGCAAUAGCUAAUUUUUUGUGUUUCUUUUGUUUUGUUUUGUUUUUGGUACCCGGUAUCCAACUCUGGUCCUGCGCUUGCGCAGCAGGGGGCGAAACCAGUGAGCUAAAUCCCCGGCCCUUUUGUGUUUCUUAUUUUACUUAGCACUUCACUGACUGUUCUGUGUCGCUUUACUUGACCCAAGAGAACACUGAGAUAAAGACUAGGUUACCACAUUUUGCCGAUUAGGAAACUGAGGCUUAGGGGGAUCAAGUGACUUGAAG